Molecule: long non-coding RNA, 709 nt
Filed under: Arachis ipaensis
Lineage: Eukaryota; Viridiplantae; Streptophyta; Magnoliopsida; Fabales; Fabaceae
Description: long non-coding RNA (AIPA_LNC000642)
Source: RNAcentral
CUGGUAACAAACAAACAAUGAUGGUCAUGCUUUUUAGUCUAUGAUUGUUGGGCCAUGGCGACUGGAGAGAGAGAGAGAGAAAGAGAGAGAGAGAGAGGGAGAAUAGUGAUCGAUGUUAGGUAAGUGAGAUCCACUACCAUCUCUCUCUCUCUCUCAUCGACGCUCCCGUCCAUUAGGGUUCGAUCAUCUUCUUCGCCACCGCCACCGCCACCGCCACAACCUCGCAUCACAUCAGAUCUCCGUCCGCAUCUCUUCUUCUCCGAUAGAUCCAUCUCACUACACACAAAUUCUUCAUCUUCAAUUCGCAUCUCUAUGUAAACAACUAGGGUUGGGGCUGGGGUUUUCUAAUUAAUUUCUGAUUGUGGAAUCUCUUCUUCGUUCUUUGUUUCUGUUGUAAUUAAUAUGGAUCUGAUCAACAAGUAAUUAAGAACUGGAUCUGAGAAUCUCACACUGCUGUGACGGAAAAAGCCUAUGAAUCUAUACACAACCACCUACGCUUCCUUUGUCUCUAUCUUCGCCCUACCUAACUAGGGCAUAUAUUAUCCUACAACAGAUUCCUUUUCUUUUUUCUUUUUUUUUUUAAAUUAAUAAUAAAAUUAUUUCUUCUGUUUGCGUCUUUGUGAUGACGAUCGAGAACUUCAUCGCAUAAUAAUUUUCGGAUCUUAGCUUCGUUUUUUGUCUUCAUCUGGUUUUCUUCCUUCUUCCCUGG